This 73-nucleotide transfer RNA is filed under the name Loxodonta africana (African savanna elephant). It matches the Rfam family "tRNA". Rfam says of the family: Transfer RNA (tRNA) molecules are approximately 80 nucleotides in length. Their secondary structure includes four short double-helical elements and three loops (D, anti-codon, and T loops). The record is from Rfam by way of RNAcentral. Lineage: Eukaryota; Metazoa; Chordata; Mammalia; Proboscidea; Elephantidae.
GCAGUGGUGGUUCAGUGGUAGAACUCUUGCCUUCCGCGCAGUGGUGACCUGAGUUCAAUUCCCAGCCGAGGCC